UGACCUGUGGUGUAAUUGGCAACACACAAGAUUCUGGAUCUUGUUUUUUAGGUUCGAGUCCUAACAGGUCAA
This 72-nucleotide transfer RNA is filed under the name Bacteroidales bacterium. RNAcentral describes it as "tRNA-Gln". It matches the Rfam family "tRNA". Rfam says of the family: Transfer RNA (tRNA) molecules are approximately 80 nucleotides in length. Their secondary structure includes four short double-helical elements and three loops (D, anti-codon, and T loops). Further hydrogen bonds mediate the characteristic L-shaped molecular structure. tRNAs have two regions of fundamental functional importance: the anti-codon, which is responsible for specific mRNA codon recognition, and the 3' end, to which the tRNAs corresponding amino acid is attached (by aminoacyl-tRNA synthetases). tRNAs cope with the degeneracy of the genetic code in two manners: having more than one tRNA (with a specific anti-codon) for a particular amino acid; and 'wobble' base-pairing, i.e. permitting non-standard base-pairing at the 3rd anti-codon position. Lineage: Bacteria; Pseudomonadati; Bacteroidota; Bacteroidia; Bacteroidales. The record is from RNAcentral.